GGCCCGGUAUUUUGACCGUGCGAAGGUAGCGCAAUCACUUGUCUUUUAAAUGGGGACCUGUAUGAAUGGCAUAACGAGGGCUUGACUGUCUCCUCUUUCAAGUCAAUGAAAUUGAUCUCCCCGUGCAGAAGCGGGGAUAAGCACAUAAGACGAGAAGACCCUAUGGAGCUUUAGACACUAAAGCAGAUCAGUACUAAUACCCUCAACAACAGGAUGCAAAUUCAACUGGACCCUGCCCUAAUGUCUUUGGUUGGGGCGACCGCGGAGAAAUAAAAAACCCCCGCAAGGACCGAAUGUACCACAUUCACAACCAAGAGCGACAGCUCUAAUUAACAGAACUUCUGACUAGUAAGAUCCGGCAACGCCGAUCAAUGAACCGAGUUACCCUAGGGAUAACAGCGCAAUCUCCUCUUAGAGUCCAUAUCGACGAGGGGGUUUACGACCUCGAUGUUGGAUCAGGACAUCCUAAUGGUGCAGCCGCUAUUAAGGG
This 490-nucleotide ribosomal RNA is filed under the name Epinephelus radiatus (oblique-banded grouper). Its description in RNAcentral is "partial 16S ribosomal RNA". It matches the Rfam family "Bacterial large subunit ribosomal RNA", at positions 1930 to 2571 of the family's 2925-position model. Lineage: Eukaryota; Metazoa; Chordata; Actinopteri; Perciformes; Serranidae. The record is from RNAcentral.